UACGGAGGGUGCAAGCGUUAUUCGGAAUGACUGGGCGUAAAGCGCACGCAGGCGGUUAUUUAAGUCAGAUGUGAAAGCCCCGAGCUUAACUUGGGAAUUGCAUUUGAAACUGGAUAACUAGAAUAUGUCAGGGGAAGGCGGAAUUUCCAGUGUAGCAGUGAAAUGCGUAGAGAUUGGAAGGAACACCGAUGGCGAAGGCAGCCUUCUGGGACUAUAUUGACGCUCAUGUGCGAAAGCGUGGGUAG
Molecule: ribosomal RNA, 245 nt
Filed under: uncultured Suttonella sp.
Lineage: Bacteria; Pseudomonadati; Pseudomonadota; Gammaproteobacteria; Cardiobacteriales; Cardiobacteriaceae
Description: partial 16S ribosomal RNA
Rfam family: Bacterial small subunit ribosomal RNA
Source: RNAcentral